Trichonephila clavipes is the source of this 73-nucleotide non-coding RNA. The record is from the annotation of a GenBank genome assembly. NCBI's taxonomy places the organism in Eukaryota, Metazoa, Arthropoda, Arachnida, Araneae, Nephilidae.
GUCCCUGUAGUGCAAUGGAUAACACGUUGAACUUCUUAUCGAAAGAUAGUGGGUUCAAAUCCCACCUGGGAUG